GAUGAACGCUGGCGGCGUGCCUAACACAUGCAAGUCGAACGGUGAACAAGAGAAUGAGGCUUCGGCGGAAUGAUCUUGAUCAUAGUGGCGGACGGGUGAGUAACGCGUGGGGAACCUGCCCCGGACCGGGGGAUAGCAGCUGGAAACGGCUGGUAAUACCGCAUAAGCGCACGGGACCGCAUGAUCCUGUGUGAAAAACUCCGGUGGUCCGGGAUGGACCCGCGUCUGAUUAGCCAGUUGGUGAGGUAACGGCCCACCAAAGCGACGAUCAGUAGCCGGCCUGAGAGGGCGGACGGCCACAUUGGGACUGAGACACGGCCCAGACUCC
RNAcentral lists this ribosomal RNA (328 nucleotides) under uncultured Butyrivibrio sp. RNAcentral's name for it is "bacterial SSU rRNA". It matches the Rfam family "Bacterial small subunit ribosomal RNA", at positions 28 to 339 of the family's 1533-position model. The record is from RNAcentral. Lineage: Bacteria; Bacillati; Bacillota; Clostridia; Lachnospirales; Lachnospiraceae.